GGAUUUUGCGAACUUGUCAUUUAAGGAAAAGCCUGUAUAUGUAGGUGUUGAUGAUGGAAGGUCGAAGGUGACCGUCGAAGGGUUGCAGCAGGGCUAUUGUGUCGUGCCUAG
Long non-coding RNA from Zingiber officinale, 111 nucleotides. RefSeq lists it as uncharacterized. The record is from RefSeq and is a predicted model, not a curated record. The transcript is spliced from 2 exons. Lineage: Eukaryota; Viridiplantae; Streptophyta; Magnoliopsida; Zingiberales; Zingiberaceae.